Molecule: ribosomal RNA, 1349 nt
Filed under: uncultured bacterium
Lineage: Bacteria
Description: bacterial SSU rRNA
Rfam family: Bacterial small subunit ribosomal RNA
Source: RNAcentral
GACGAACGCUGGCGGCGUGCUUAACACAUGCAAGUCGAACGAUGAAGCCUAGCUUGCUAGGUGGAUUAGUGGCGAACGGGUGAGUAAUACGUGAGUAACCUACCUUUAACUCUGGGAUAAGCCCGGGAAACUGGGUCUAAUACCGGAUACGACCAAUCUCCGCAUGGGGUGUUGGUGGAAAGCGUUAUGUAGUGGUUAUAGAUGGGCCCACGGCCUAUCAGCUUGUUGGUGAGGUAACGGCUCACCAAGGCGACGACGGGUAGCCGGCCUGAGAGGGUGACCGGCCACACUGGGACUGAGACACGGCCCAGACUCCUACGGGAGGCAGCAGUGGGGAAUAUUGCACAAUGGGCGCAAGCCUGAUGCAGCGACGCCGCGUGAGGGAUGACGGCCUUCGGGUUGUAAACCUCUGUUAGCAGGGAAGAAGAGAGAUUGACGGUACCUGCAGAGAAAGCGCCGGCUAACUACGUGCCAGCAGCCGCGGUAAUGCGUAGGGCGCGAGCGUUGUCCGGAAUUAUUGGGCGUAAAGAGCUUGUAGGGCGGUUUGUCGCGUCUGCUGUGAAAGGCCGGGGCUUAACCCCGUGUAUUGCAGUGGGUACGGGCAGACUAGAGUGCAGUAGGGGAGACUGGAAUUCCUGGUGUAGCGGUGGAAUGCGCAGAUAUCAGGAGGAACACCGAUGGCGAAGGCAGGUCUCUGGGCUGUAACUGACGCUGAGAAGCGAAAGCAUGGGGAGCGAACAGGAUUAGAUACCCUGGUAGUCCAUGCCGUAAACGUUGGGCACUAGGUGUGGGGGACAUUCCACGUUUUCCGCGCCGUAGCUAACGCAUUAAGUGCCCCGCCUGGGGAGUACGGCCGCAAGGCUAAAACUCAAAGAAAUUGACGGGGGCCCGCACAAGCGGCGGAGCAUGCGGAUUAAUUCGAUGCAACGCGAAGAACCUUACCAAGGCUUGACAUAUACUGGACCGCAUCAGAGAUGGUGUUUCCCUUCGGGGCUGGUAUACAGGUGGUGCAUGGUUGUCGUCAGCUCGUGUCGUGAGAUGUUGGGUUAAGUCCCGCAACGAGCGCAACCCUCGUUCUAUGUUGCCAGCACGUUAUGGUGGGGACUCAUAGGAGACUGCCGGGGUCAACUCGGAGGAAGGUGGGGAUGACGUCAAAUCAUCAUGCCCCUUAUGUCUUGGGCUUCACGCAUGCUACAAUGGCCGGUACAGAGGGUUGCGAUACUGUGAGGUGGAGCUAAUCCCUAAAAGCCGGUCUCAGUUCGGAUUGGGGUCUGCAACUCGACCCCAUGAAGUCGGAGUCGCUAGUAAUCGCAGAUCAGCAACGCUGCGGUGAAUACGUUCCCGGGCCU